This 794-nucleotide unclassified non-coding RNA is filed under the name Hevea brasiliensis (rubber tree). Lineage: Eukaryota; Viridiplantae; Streptophyta; Magnoliopsida; Malpighiales; Euphorbiaceae. The record is from RNAcentral.
GUCAAUUUUUCAUGAGAUUAUAAUGGAUUUAUUAUACAUAAUUAAAUUUAGUACAUUUCAUUUCAAGUCAAUAUUUAAUCAAAUUUAAAUUAAUAGACAUUUUGACAUAAUUAUAUUUGAUUGAAAAUUAUAUUUAUUUAUUUAUUUAUUAAAGGGUAAUAUUUUAUAAAUAAAAGAAUAUACAUUUUCUGCCCCACUGACCAAAAAUUCUAACUCUGCCACUGACAAAAAUUGUUGUCUUUUUUUGGUCAUUAACCAUAUAUAAAUGAAUUUCCAAAAGUGAUUUCAAACUAUAUUGUUUCAAGAGAUACUAAAAUGCAUAAUAUAAAAGGAGACCUGAGCUAGAAAAUGUCUUACUAGGAGAAUAGUGUACAUCUUUUCCAUUUGAGCAUUUAACUCUGGCGUCAAGUGCAUGAAUGCUAUUAUAAAACAGAAUUUUCUCAUUUCAUCUUAUACUAGUUACAGCAUAUACUCAAAGGGGAUGAUCACUUUUACUGCCCAUUAAUGUACAACAAACUUUUAGCAUUUCUCUUCAAUGAUGUGCCAUGAUUUUCACAAAUACUGCUCAAGCACAACUAAUUUACCUGGCAACUGAAGACUUUAAUGACAUAAUUACUUCUAAAUUCAGAAUAGCAUAUAAUUAUGUUGGCAUCAGUUUGAAUAAAGCUAUUAAAAACACUACUUAAAGAUCAAACAUUUUAUGAGCACUAAGCACUUAAAACAUGUGUUGUGCAUGCAAACAGAUAUAUUGAUUAACUGAACUUGUUAUUUGUAAAUCAUUGUGCUUCACUCGU